Molecule: transfer RNA, 68 nt
Filed under: Marmota monax (woodchuck)
Lineage: Eukaryota; Metazoa; Chordata; Mammalia; Rodentia; Sciuridae
Description: tRNA.Ala
Rfam family: tRNA (bases 7-63)
About the family: Transfer RNA (tRNA) molecules are approximately 80 nucleotides in length. Their secondary structure includes four short double-helical elements and three loops (D, anti-codon, and T loops). Further hydrogen bonds mediate the characteristic L-shaped molecular structure. tRNAs have two regions of fundamental functional importance: the anti-codon, which is responsible for specific mRNA codon recognition, and the 3' end, to which the tRNAs corresponding amino acid is attached (by aminoacyl-tRNA synthetases). tRNAs cope with the degeneracy of the genetic code in two manners: having more than one tRNA (with a specific anti-codon) for a particular amino acid; and 'wobble' base-pairing, i.e. permitting non-standard base-pairing at the 3rd anti-codon position.
Source: RNAcentral
GGAAUAUAGCUCAGUGGUAGAGCAUGUGUUUAGCAUAUAAAAGGCCCUGGGUUUGAUCCCCAGCACCA